GAUGAACGCUGGCGGCGUGCUUAACACAUGCAAGUCGAACGGAGAGGCCCAAGCUUGCUUGGGUCCUCGAGUGGCGAACGGGUGAGUAACACGUGGGUGAUCUGCCCUGCACUUCGGGAUAAGCCUGGGAAACUGGGUCUAAUACCGGAUAGGACGAUGGUUUGGAUGCCAUUGUGGAAAGUUUUUUCGGUGUGGGAUGAGCUCGCGGCCUAUCAGCUUGUUGGUGGGGUAAUGGCCUACCAAGGCGUCGACGGGUAGCCGGCCUGAGAGGGUGUACGGCCACAUUGGGACUGAGAGACGGCCCAGACUCCUACGGGAGGCAGCAGUGGGGAAUAUUGCACAAUGGGCGCAAGCCUGAGGCAGCGACGCCGCGUGGGGGAUGACGGCCUUCGGGUUGUAAACUCCUUUCGCUAGGGACGAAGCGUUUUUGUGACGGUACCUGGAGAAGAAGCACCGGCUAACUACGUG
Molecule: ribosomal RNA, 468 nt
Filed under: uncultured bacterium
Lineage: Bacteria
Description: partial 16S ribosomal RNA
Rfam family: Bacterial small subunit ribosomal RNA
Source: RNAcentral